CCUACGGGUGGCAGCAGUGAGGAAUAUUGGUCAAUGGACGAGAGUCUGAACCAGCCAAGUAGCGUGAAGGAUGACUGCCCUAUGGGUUGUAAACUUCUUUUAUAAAGGAAUAAAACGAGGCACGUGUGCCUUUUUGCAUGUACUUUAUGAAUAAGGAUCGGCUAACUCCGUGCCAGCAGCCGCGGUAAUACGGAGGAUCCGAGCGUUAUCCGGAUUUAUUGGGUUUAAAGGGAGCGUAGUUGGGUUAAUAAGUCAGUUGUGAAAGUUUGCGGCUCAACCGGAAAAUUGCAAUUGAUACUGGUGGUCUUGAGUACAGAUGAGGUAAGCGGAAUUCGAUGUGUAGCGGUGGAAUGCUUAGAUAUCACGAAGAACCCCGAUUGCGAAGGCAGCUUUCUAAUCUGUAACUGACAUUGAGGCUCGAAAGCAUGGGUAGCGAACAGGAUUAGAUACCCUGGUAGUC
Molecule: ribosomal RNA, 460 nt
Filed under: uncultured bacterium
Lineage: Bacteria
Description: partial 16S ribosomal RNA
Rfam family: Bacterial small subunit ribosomal RNA
Source: RNAcentral